CACCCUGUUACAUGUUGGGUCUCUGAUGUGUUAUUAUUGUAGCGUGUCAUAUAGCACUGGAUAAUAUUGACGAUUAACUAAAUAAAUAAUUUAGGGAAGAGUGCUCACUUCCCAUCAUCAUAGCUAAUCUGCUACCCAAGGUUUAUAUGUGUUUAUAAUGCAUGUAUAUUACUAGUGUAUUUACUUUAUAAUUUGUAAUCACAGAAUGGAUGACCUCAGUCAGUUCCUGAGAGAAAGAAAGGUUCCUGAGGAAACAAUAUGGACAAUGGAGCAGGAAAAGGUACUUAAAUUUAACACAAGAACAUUUGUUGAUCUAUUAAAGAAAUUAACUCAAUGGUUUAUUGUGCCAUCAGGAAAUUCUAAAUAAAUGUUAGUAUCUCAAAUUGUCAUCAGCAGUGAAUAGGUUGUUUAACUAAAAUAACACUCCCAUAACAAUUUCUCUCUUAUUUAGAUUGAUAGAAGCACUAUAGUGUUGAUGACCGAUGAGCAGCUGAAGACUUAUUUACCAUCAUAUGGUGAUCGUCUAGCAGUAAUGGGAUUUUGUAGGCGAAGUGAAGGUAACCACAAUGAAACUCGGAAAUCAAGGCUUUUUGAUCGGCUGAGAAACAGAUUAUCCAGAAGAAAACUUUCCAAUGAUGGAGAUCAGAAUACAGAGCACAGUGGUCAACCCUCUCAAAAAAGGAAUGCUCUGAAGACCAUGAGAAAAGUAGAAAUAGGAUGGAUGACCUAUGAUAACGAAAAUCAAAAUUUUAGGCAGGUGAGGACAAAGCGUGGAGGUGGAACAAGAAAAGUUGAAGUUUCAAAGGAAGCACAGAAGAAAGAUUUGAUAGAGCAAGCGGUCAAUCUCUUCUUUCCAGAUGGGAAAAGUCUUCUGGGGCCCAUAACAGAUUUUGAGCUUGAUCUCAAGGAUUACCAAGAGUUGACAUUUGAUGGCAUAACCACAGUUGGACAACUGUACAGUGACACAAAACUCUCUCUUCUGCGGUUUUACCUGACCACAAAGCAAAAAAGAAGUGACACUCCAAACAGUCAGAGCACAGAUUUGGCUCCUGCUUUGGAGAAACCAGAAAGCUCUCAGAAUUCCUCUUCUGCUUCUUCUUUUUAUGUUGCUUCAGCCUCAUCAGCAAGUGUUGAAACAGUCAGCUCAGAAGUGAUAUUUUUUGCAAGCACUGUCAAUGAUGGGGGUUUUUCACUGUAUUCGACUGAGGAUGUGAGCAGUGUCAUUGAAGAUGUUUCAGAGGAGAGCAACAUUGUUUUUAUGGGAGACCUCUCUGAACAUGAGCAUCAGAAUCUGGAUGAGACACUGCCUGUUUCACUACAAAAUAUGCCAUCCAGUGAGAGAACAAAGAGAAUAUUGGUUGUCCACAGAGGACAGGUUCUGCCAGAGCUCAUACAACAUUUCUGUGAAGAUGUAAUUCAAGAUGUUGAUGUCAGAAUCCAGCUUGUACUUCCAAAUGGAGCACUUGAGAAGGCAUAUGAUGAUGGGGGAGUUGUGAGAGAUUGUCUCUCAGAAUUCUGGAAUGAGUUCUAUGACCAAUGUACUAUGGGAAAUAUAUUUAGAGUUCCUUUCCUUCGUCGUGAUUAUGGACAGCAGCACUGGGAGAGUGUAGGGCGAAUAAUUGAAUAUGGAUGGGCAAGGGAGAAGUAUCUUCCUGUGAAGAUUGCACCAGUUGUGUUAGAACAGGCUGCCUUUGGAUGUGUGAAGAGUGAUGUAGUGGAUAAUUUCCUCAAAUACGUGUCUGAAUCAGAGCGUGCAGUGUUGGAAUCAUGGCGAUCAGAUUUUAACAGCACUGACCAAGAAGAAUUGAUUGAGAUCUUGGAUAACCACAGCUGCAGGAGAGCACCAACAGCGAGCAAUGUAAACGAAAUCCUCCAAGAACUUGCACACAAAACACUAAUCCAGGAACCUGCCUACGUAAUAAAACAGUGGGCAAAAAUUCUCAGUCCAGUUCGGCAUAACUUUGAAGACCUCCUAACAGUAUAUGGCACCUUGCAGCCAACUGGGAGAAAGAUUUUGAAGUCACUUGCCUUCCCAGACACAAUGGAUGACCGCCAGAAAGAGAUUCAGAGGCACCUUACCAUCUACUUGAGGAAUGCUGAUCCCCAUCAUCUGUGCUUGUUCCUCCGAUUCUGCACAGGUUCUGAUCUGUUUCUGGGGAAGACGAUCACCAUUGAUUUCACACAAAUUCAAGGAUUCCAGAGGAGACCUGUGGCACACACAUGUGGUUGUGUACUGGAACUGUCAGAACAUUACGACAGCUACCCAGACUUCAGCUCUGAGAUGAAUAAAGUCUUGGAAUCUAAUGUAUGGGUGAUGGACAUUGUAUAAAAUAGUCCACAAAAUUACAGUGUUUUCUAUAAUACUGCCAUCAGUGUUUUUGUGGGGAGGGCAGUUUGUCCUUUAAGCUCAUGUGCUGUCAUUUUGUAUAAAUGAAAAAUGAAAAUAUCAUUACCAGAUAUUGAAGUAUUGAAAAUUUUCUGNNNNNNNNNNNNNNNNNNNNNNNNNNNNNNNNNNNNNNNNNNNNNNNNNNN
RNAcentral lists this long non-coding RNA (2532 nucleotides) under Astyanax mexicanus (Mexican tetra). RNAcentral's name for it is "lncRNA (ENSAMXG00005010010.1)". The record is from RNAcentral. Lineage: Eukaryota; Metazoa; Chordata; Actinopteri; Characiformes; Acestrorhamphidae.